RNAcentral lists this ribosomal RNA (629 nucleotides) under Burkholderia sp. BTLbbc-03. RNAcentral's name for it is "bacterial SSU rRNA". It matches the Rfam family "Bacterial small subunit ribosomal RNA", at positions 75 to 699 of the family's 1533-position model. The record is from RNAcentral. Lineage: Bacteria; Pseudomonadati; Pseudomonadota; Betaproteobacteria; Burkholderiales; Burkholderiaceae.
GGUGCUUGCACCUGGUGGCGAGUGGCGAACGGGUGAGUAAUACAUCGGAACAUGUCCUGUAGUGGGGGAUAGCCCGGCGAAAGCCGGAUUAAUACCGCAUACGAUCUACGGAUGAAAGCGGGGGACCUUCGGGCCUCGCGCUAUAGGGUUGGCCGAUGGCUGAUUAGCUAGUUGGUGGGGUAAAGGCCUACCAAGGCGACGAUCAGUAGCUGGUCUGAGAGGACGACCAGCCACACUGGGACUGAGACACGGCCCAGACUCCUACGGGAGGCAGCAGUGGGGAAUUUUGGACAAUGGGCGAAAGCCUGAUCCAGCAAUGCCGCGUGUGUGAAGAAGGCCUUCGGGUUGUAAAGCACUUUUGUCCGGAAAGAAAUCCUUGGCUCUAAUACAGUCGGGGGAUGACGGUACCGGAAGAAUAAGCACCGGCUAACUACGUGCCAGCAGCCGCGGUAAUACGUAGGGUGCGAGCGUUAAUCGGAAUUACUGGGUGUAAAGCGUGCGCAGGCGGUUUGCUAAGACCGAUGUGAAAUCCCCGGGCUCAACCUGGGAACUGCAUUGGUGACUGGCAGGCUAGAGUAUGGCAGAGGGGGGUAGAAUUCCACGUGUAGCAGUGAACUGCGUAUAGAUGU